GUGGGGAAUAUUGGACAAUGGGGGGAACCCUGAUCCAGCCAUGCCGCGUGUGUGAAGAAGGCCUUUUGGUUGUAAAGCACUUUAAGUUGGGAGGAAGGGCAGUAAGUUAAUACCUUGCUGUUUUGACGUUACCGACAGAAUAAGCACCGGCUAACUUCGUGCCAGCAGCCGCGGUAAUACGAAGGGUGCAAGCGUUAAUCGGAAUUACUGGGCGUAAAGCGCGCGUAGGUGGUUUUGUAAGUUGGAGGUGAAAUCCCCGGGCUCAACCUGGGAACUGCCUCCAAAACUGCAUGACUAGAGUACGGUAGAGGGUAGUGGAAUUUCCUGUGUAGCGGUGAAAUGCGUAGAUAUAGGAAGGAACACCAGUGGCGAAGGCGACUACCUGGACUGAUACUGACACUGAGGUGCGAAAGCGUGGGGAGCAAACAGGAUUAGAAACCCUGGUAGUCC
Molecule: ribosomal RNA, 450 nt
Filed under: uncultured bacterium
Lineage: Bacteria
Description: bacterial SSU rRNA
Rfam family: Bacterial small subunit ribosomal RNA
Source: RNAcentral